GAUCAUGGCUCAGGAUGAACGCUAGCUACAGGCUUAACACAUGCAAGUCGAGGGGCAGCAUGGUCUUAGCUUGCUAAGGCUGAUGGCGACCGGCGCACGGGUGAGUAACACGUAUCCAACCUGCCGUCUACUCUUGGCCAGCCUUCUGAAAGGAAGAUUAAUCCAGGAUGGCAUCAUGAGUUCACAUGUCCGCAUNAGGGGUUAAAGUAUUUUCCGGUAGACGAG
Molecule: ribosomal RNA, 225 nt
Filed under: uncultured bacterium
Lineage: Bacteria
Description: partial 16S ribosomal RNA
Rfam family: Bacterial small subunit ribosomal RNA
Source: RNAcentral